This is an RNA transcript of Oppia nitens, 1570 nucleotides long. RefSeq lists it as uncharacterized. The record is from RefSeq and is a predicted model, not a curated record. Lineage: Eukaryota; Metazoa; Arthropoda; Arachnida; Sarcoptiformes; Oppiidae. The transcript is spliced from 3 exons.
AGUGUUUAGCAGUAAAACCAACACUUGAGUCAUACAAACAUUGAUUUAUUGUUUUUGAUUGACAUUCGAUUAAAAGCAUUGAGUGAUUGAUUGAGUAAUCAAUUUGUUUGAUCCAAUCGGCGAUAAUCUGAUCCAAAUAACAACAACAAAAACGAUGACUUGUUUUGUGUAUAUCUCCGGCCAACGUAUGGACGGACAGAGUCGUGAACUACGAGAGAUGUAUUUAUCGCAACUGAUGACAGAUGUUAUCAUUGAAUGCAUCGAUGGCUCAGUGAUGGCACACAAACUGGUAUUGUCUUCACUAUCGCAACGAUUGUAUCAAUUGUUGUCAAAGUGGUCGACCAGUCAGUUGAUUGUCAUUAUACUAAUGGAUACCAAAGUCGAUGACAUGAAAUCCAUUGUCGAUUGUGUUUACUUUGGCCACCAAUUGGUUGAUAUUAAACGUGUCAAUCAAUUACAACAAAUUGCUAAUACAUUUGGUCUACAAUUGAAGACAGAAGAAGUCGCUGAAGAAUCGCUCAAUUUUUCUCGUCAAUUGAUUCAAUACGACAUCAAUGGUCUCAUGCGUUAUCAUUCUGUUAACAACAACAACAACAACAGUCUCAUAGCGAGUGAUAGAAAGCGUCGUUUGAAAGACAAACCAAUUGAACCAAUGGAUCUAUCAAUAGAUCAACUACAAGAACUACCCAUCAAUUUGUCAUUAAGUUCAACAAACGAUAAAACUAAUAACGAGGACAACAUAAUGAAGACAAUUGAGUCGAUUGUGGCCAAUGGUCCGUCAAUUGCGGCCAUCAGUCAGCCUAUUGGACGCAAAAGACGCCGAAAGCAAUCCUAUCCGAAAACAGUUGUUAACAAAAACAAAGAAAAAUCUAUGGUCGCGAGUAAGCAUUUGAAUGUCUCCUCAAACGCAUCCAAUACUACAAAACAGCCCGAAGACUCUGUUGAAUUAUUGACCACAAAUAAUGCAAUUAUCACUCCAACACAUAAUCAAUCAUUAAAUGUUCUCAAAGAAGUUGCCAGUAUGUCAUUUGGUACUUAUUUGUCACCACAGAUACAGCCAUCGAUGGAACCAAUUGUAUUCGAUGUAAACAUGGAUUCAGUGAACGAUAACAACAAUUCACAAAAUAUGGACAAAGAAGUGGUGGACAAUCAAAUCUCAAAGGAAAAUAUAAUAUCCACUACUACUCAGUUGCCAUCAAAAGCGAUAAACGAUAAUACAAUUGAAUGUUCGCCGAUUGGUUGCGGACUUGCAGUUGCAGUCGUCGGUAACAACAAUAGUUGUCCCGUUUGUUUAAUACAGUUAACCGAUUCAAAAGAGUUGAUUAGUCACUUGAAUGCCGAACACAAGACCAACGGCCGAUUCAAGUGUUUCAACUGCGGUAAAGAACAGAAGUACGCAAAGACAUUGAUUAAACACUCCACUAAUUGUCGACAACAACUACAACAACAAAAUCCCUCACAAAAGAAAACUAACUAAUAAUUUCAUUCCUCAUCAGUGAUCAUCACUUUUUAAAGAAAACAAAAUAAAAAACAUACGUGACCCGUACUGUGACCAGAGAUGUCCACCGAG